Molecule: ribosomal RNA, 252 nt
Filed under: bacterium enrichment culture clone ALO1_GLFRUDD03F7ZMN
Lineage: Bacteria
Description: partial 16S ribosomal RNA
Rfam family: Bacterial small subunit ribosomal RNA
Source: RNAcentral
GAGUUUGAUCCUGGCUCAGAUUGAACGCUGGCGGCAUGCCUUACACAUGCAAGUCGAACGGCAGCACGGGAGCUUGCUCCUGGUGGCGAGUGGCGAACGGGUGAGUAAUGCAUCGGAACGUAUCCUGGAGUGGGGGAUAACGUAGCGAAAGUUACGCUAAUACCGCAUAUUCUGUGAGCAGGAAAGCGGGGGACCUUCGGGCCUCGCGCUCUUGGAGCGGCCGAUGUCGGAUUAGCUAGUUGGUGGAGGUAA